RNAcentral lists this ribosomal RNA (557 nucleotides) under uncultured bacterium. Its description in RNAcentral is "bacterial SSU rRNA". It matches the Rfam family "Bacterial small subunit ribosomal RNA", at positions 102 to 694 of the family's 1533-position model. The record is from RNAcentral.
ACGGGUGAGUAACGCGUGGGAAUCUACCGUGCCCUGCGGAAUAGCUCCGGGAAACUGGAAUUAAUACCGCAUACGCCCUACGGGGGAAAGAUUUAUCGGGGUAUGAUGAGCCCGCGUUGGAUUAGCUAGUUGGUGGGGUAAAGGCCUACCAAGGCGACGAUCCAUAGCUGGUCUGAGAGGAUGAUCAGCCACAUUGGGACUGAGACACGGCCCAAACUCCUACGGGAGGCAGCAGUGGGGAAUAUUGGACAAUGGGCGCAAGCCUGAUCCAGCCAUGCCGCGUGAGUGAUGAAGGCCUUAGGGUUGUAAAGCUCUUUCACCGGAGAAGAUAAUGACGGUAUCCGGAGAAGAAGCCCCGGCUAACUUCGUGCCAGCAGCCGCGGUAAUACGAAGGGGGCUAGCGUUGUUCGGAAUUACUGGGCGUAAAGCGCACGUAGGCGGAUAUUUAAGUCAGGGGUGAAAUCCCAGAGCUCAACCCUGGAACUGCCUUUGAUACUGGGUAUCUUGAGUAUGGAAGAGGUAAGUGGAAUUCCGAGUGUAGAGGUGAAAUUCGUAGA